Non-coding RNA from Pelobates cultripes (western spadefoot toad), 89 nucleotides. The record is from the annotation of a GenBank genome assembly. Lineage: Eukaryota; Metazoa; Chordata; Amphibia; Anura; Pelobatidae.
CUCCAGAUGUUGCUGAACUACAACUCCCAUGAUUCUCAGCCUAUUUAAUGCAUAGAAUCAUGGGAGUUGUAGUUCAGCAACAUCUGGAG